RNAcentral lists this ribosomal RNA (185 nucleotides) under uncultured bacterium. Its description in RNAcentral is "partial 16S ribosomal RNA". It matches the Rfam family "Bacterial small subunit ribosomal RNA", at positions 1316 to 1500 of the family's 1533-position model. The record is from RNAcentral.
CUACAUGAAGCUGGAAUCGCUAGUAAUCGCGAAUCAGAAUGUCGCGGUGAAUACGUUCCGGGUCUUGUACACACCGCCCGUCACACCAUGGGAGUCGGUAACGCCCGAAGCCUGUGACCCAACCUAAUAGGAGGGAGCAGUCGAAGGUGGGACCGGUGACUGGGGUGAAGUCGUAACAAGGUAUC